This 466-nucleotide long non-coding RNA is filed under the name Homo sapiens (human). RNAcentral describes it as "long non-coding RNA NONHSAT169168.1". The record is from RNAcentral. Lineage: Eukaryota; Metazoa; Chordata; Mammalia; Primates; Hominidae.
CUAAAGCUUCCUGUUCAAAGUCUGGCUGAGAAUUUUUGCUGCUUCUUUCCCUACCUCCUCAUUUCCGAAGGAGGUACCUUUCUGGCUUCUCUGUUGAACAUUUCCUAAAUAAAGUGUGGAUGAAAAGCAAUAGAGGAAGGAAAUGCAGAAAAUUAUAAGGCUGAAAUAGAAACUGGCCACAGCAGAGAUUAAAGAUGGCUGUUAUAACAUAUUCUCAGUGUAAAAACUCAAAAAUAAUAGAGAGCAUUACAGAUGACAACCAUGGGUUUACUUGUGAUAAAAUAGUCACUCUUCGUUCAGAAACAAUGAAGACCAAACCAAAUCAGCAAGCUCCCAUCAGCAUCGAACUAAGGUUAAACCAUGACCACUCCUCGAGGCCUUCCCUGGAGAUUCGGGCUCAUAGAUUCCUUCUUUCUCUGAAUUCUAAAGUACUUAUGGAAGAUUCAGCAGAUAAUUUUUAAUGAAU